GAGCGAGCGAAGAGCUCUUCUCUCUCUGGCUGUAGACAGUCAACUGGCGCAUUGAAUCCGAGUCCGAGCGCCUGAUCGAGGCUUCGAAGCCGCGAGUGUCUUGCUUCGGCUUCUCUUAUUCGCACUGUCACGUAGAUUUCGAUUUGCGACCUGGAAAAUACGUGCAUCGGCGCCAUCUCGUGAGAGGACGAGAACCAACGGAGGAGGAAACACCUGUCCUAGGAAAAUCCUUAUUUUCGUCAUGCCCAAGAAACCCACAGGUGCGCCACCGCAUGGCGCCAAAGAGCGAGAAAGUAAGCGUCAGGCCAACGCUGCUAAAUCAAUGGCCGAAAAAGCUCAAAGAGAAGCUAAAAAAGUAGUAUCUGCCCAGAAGAUUGUCGAGCUUAACGCAGAGAGGGCGGGGGCAACAUCACAGCCUACUGGGUCAAAACAG
RNAcentral lists this long non-coding RNA (433 nucleotides) under Penaeus japonicus. Its description in RNAcentral is "uncharacterized LOC122257922". Lineage: Eukaryota; Metazoa; Arthropoda; Malacostraca; Decapoda; Penaeidae. The record is from RNAcentral.